Molecule: long non-coding RNA, 3660 nt
Organism: Hipposideros armiger (great roundleaf bat)
Lineage: Eukaryota; Metazoa; Chordata; Mammalia; Chiroptera; Hipposideridae
Exons: 2
Source: RefSeq, a predicted model, not a curated record
CCUUGGGCCGCUGGGUCACCGUCCUGGGUGCUUGGGUCCCUCGGACAUCCCAAAGGGGCGGGCCGGUGGUUGCGGGCUCAGGAGGAUGGGGUGGGCGGCCCGGCUCCUCUGUCGCUGCCCGGCCGGGCCAAGCGUGCUCUCGCUUUUCUCUUCCCGGACUAACUGCCUGUCCAGUUUGGGCAAGGGGCUGAACCUGGGAACCCCAAGAUGAUGGGGAGACGGCGGUGCCCGGCAGGAUUAGCCGUCAUCUUACCAUCGCGGAGGGGAAAGCCGAGCGCGCAUUGCGCUACAGUGGGGAAAGCAACUAGGAAUCCAGUGGGCAGCGCGCGGAGGAGGCCACAGCGCCCCCUUUCGGCCGAGCCCUCGGGGUAGGGUCAGCCGCCCCGCCAAACCUUGGGGUCUUCAUCCGGUUUGGAUCCUUAGCUUCCCAGCGCACCUCCAGCUCUGGAAAGUAGCUCCUGCCUCUUCCAGCCCCUUAAACUUUCCCCUCCAGACCUUCCAGUUGGACAGAACUUUUGACUUCUCCUACCUCUUCCUUCUAACCGCCAGAGCUGAAAAGGGAGGUAGAGAAAUCACUCUUCCCUGCAGGGCCUCGGCCUGCUAAGCCGCAGCCGGUCCAGAAGAAGCGUCCAGGGGAAGCGGCAGCACUUCUGCUGGAGUACGGUCGCAGAGUGGUGGUCAGUAGGCUUUGACAUCAAACGCGGAACCUAACUGCCCUGGAUUCGGUGCCCAGCCUUUCCCAAUCCCCUCUUCCCGUCCAUCCGCUCACUUAGCGCAUUGGGCAAGAGCCAGUGCCUUCAUGGGUCCAACCGAUUCCUCUUUUCAAAAGGGAGUUGUUGUAAGAGGUUCACCACGCACAGUUGACUUGUGAGGAAACUGAGACUCACAGACAGGUGGUGACCUAUUCAAAGUCGCACAGCUGGGAAACCUAGCCCUCAGCCUCCUGAUCCCGGCCCCCCAGCUCGAAGUGCCUGGAGGGCUGGCCCUGAAGGGGUUUGGGACUUUGUAGUGGGGAAGGGCGUUGCCCAGGCAGCCAACUGGUCACACUGGCUUAGCCACACAGGGUGGCACUUUCUAGAUGAAGCACUCAGUUGGGAGUCUUGCAAAACCCCAUUUGGUUAGUGCCCCAGAGCUUGUCAGGCUGAGUUUGGAACUAACUCGUCCCAAUCAAUCCCAGAAGAGAAGGACGCACCAGCCCAAUUGCCAAUUUAUUGUUCUCAACCAAAGAUAAAUGCAGGGCAGGCUAGCGUAGUGCAGGUUCUGGAGUCAGACAGCCAGUGUUAGUCUUGGCUCUUCCGCUUACAAGCUGUAUGAACCUGGGAAAUUAUUUAACAGUGCCUCCAUUUUCUCAUCUGUAAAAUGGGGGUAGGAAUACCUACCUCAUAGGGUUUUAAGGAGGUUCAAUUAAGUUAUUAUUUUUAAAUGGCUUAGAAUGGUGCCUGGCACAUAACAAAAGCUUUAAGAAGGUUAGCUAUAGUCGCGAUCAAUAUCAUCAUCACUGAAGAGACCAGAUGCUCAAAUGUAUGGGCAGCGUGGUCCCUCCCUCUAAGCAAUUAUUUGUGGAAAGCAGGAUUCUUGAUGAGAAGGUCACAGCAGUGGGCAUGGUAGAAUCAGAGGCGAGGGAGCUGGCAGGUCCCCAGGGAGGUUUGCCCAGGCCCUGCAAAGGCCUCGCUCCCCAGUCCUGCCCGACCUUGGAGCUGACUCUCCAGGGACCAGACGGCUCCAGAUUUCCCUGAUUCCCGGUUUCUCUCUGCUUAAUAAACACCAACAAAAUUUGCCUUUCUGAGCCCUGUCAUCCUCCCCUUGAGUUGAUCUUUAAAUAUGCUAAUGCAUCGAUUAGGCUGUAAUCAAGUCUUGUUCUUCCUGUUUUUUUGGCCUGGGAUUCAGACCUUCUCUUUCUAAAGGGGCAUCUACAUAUGGCACAUCUCAUCCCCCCUCCCCUCCCCUAGGUGGGAGGCCGAGGGCUUCUGUAUCACUCCUUGACCUACUUAUUUAUAGUUUUGGCCUUGACCGCCUCAGGGUGUUCAGGAGAGCCACAUGUGUAACACCCCUUCUGUAAAAGCAUUUCAUAUCCCCUUUCAUUUGUCCUGAAACUGCUCCCUUCCACCUUCAAGAACCCUGGCUCUCAUCUGCUCCGAUGCCACUGCCAGAGGUGGUCCAUGCCUCCCUCACUGCACCACCUCCAGCCACAGGCACUCCAGCCUGAAGGCUCAGGGUGGUUUCCUUAGACAGCCUCUCCACACCCUCCCCAGGACAGGCUUCUGCUCCAUUCCAGCAUUCUCUUCCCUACCCCACCCUUCCUAGACUCUCUUCCGACCCCUUCCUGGCCUCCUCUUCCCGUCUGGGCCCAGACCACAGUCAGCUUUCAUUCAUUUAACCUGCCAGAUUUGGGGAAAAGGGGAAAUAUGAGGAAUCCAAGCAGGAGUAAAAGACAAUUCCAAGUCCUUCCAUAUGUGAGACCAAUUAAUGAUGGGUGGGACCCAGGAAAGGAAGGCUCAGCCUGUGGGGUUCCGUUGGCAUUAACUAUGGGUGUCCCAGUGAGGUCAAUGGUCUGGAACCACACUUCUUAGCCUACUUGUGCGAAAGAACCCGUUCUUGGUUUUAAAUUUUUUAAUCUGUUUCAGAAUGAUACUGUUGCAAAAUAAAGUGGGAAUGAAUUAUUAGAAAAAUGAAAUAAAAAAUAAAGACAUGCAAAAUAAAAGCCCAAUUUUUAAAACUAUUAGAUCCAAUGGACAUAAAAACACCCUGUCAAAUUGCUUAACAAUUUCUAAAUGCUCACUCUCAAUUUCUGCACUUAACCUUGACACAGACUGGUAGAAAAUAGUUUGCAGACAGAUCAUGCUUGGAAUAGCACAGGUCUAGAAUGCUUCUGAAGUAUAAGGUCAGGAAAAUGGCCUCGUGGAGGGAACAGCUUAUAAAACCGCAUGAACAUCAAGGGAGAUGGUGUUAAUUACUCCAUUCGUCUGUGCAUUCAUUCAACAAACACUUAAUGAGCAGCAUCUAUGCGCCAGUCACUGUUGGACACUAAGGCUAAUAAAGAUUAAUAGAACAGGGCCUUAGCCCUCAAGAUGUUCACAGGUUGGAAGGGGAGAUAGCCACUCUGAUAAGUAAUUAAAAGCUAUUGAAAUUAGGUUAAUAAUAGACCACGGGCAUGGAGGCACAAAUAUUAAUUCUGCCCAGGGCCAAUGGAGAAGGUUCUACCAAGGAAGUGAUGUUGUGCUAAGGUCUGGAGGCCAACUUCAAUCCCACAUGGCCAGCAGGCACUCAACAGAUGAGUCUAAAUUGUGUAAAGCACUUAGCACAGCGCCUGGUACUUAGCGAGUGCUUCCAAAGUGUUAGCUGUUUUUUAUGAUUAAAUCUUAUAAAUUAUCAUCAUCAUCAUCAUCACCAUCAUCAUCCAGCUAGAUCCACCAAACAUUGUGCUUAACUUAUUAUUAUUCAUUCUCUCAUUUAGACUGAUGGAUAAUAACAAUACUAAUUUGGAUUUGUAUGGCAGUUGGUAUCAUGCCCAGCUGUUUUACAUUUUCUUUCUGUUUUCUUUUUAUUUAUUUUAAAGAAAACAGGUUUUAAAUUGCCCAGCAAUUAAAAGCAUUCAAAUGUGUAUUUUCUACAUAAUUUAUUGUUGGAGGUAAUUCAUGUGAAAUAAAAUAUUAAUUUUCA